CUACGGGGGGCUGCAGUGGGGAAUAUUGGACAAUGGGCGCAAGCCUGAUCCAGCAAUGCCGCGUGAGUGAAGACGGCCUUAGGGUUGUAAAACUCUUUCGCUAGGGAAGAUAAUGACUGUACCUAGUAAAGAAGUCCCGGCUAACCCCGUGCCAGCAGCGCGCGGUAAUACGGAGGGGACUAGCGUUGUUCGGAAUUACUGGGCGUAAAGAGUUCGUAGGCGGACUGACAAGUUAGAGGUGAAAUCCCAGGGCUCAACCCUGGAACUGCCUUUAAAACUGUCAGUCUAGAGACCGGAAGAGGUUAGGGGAAUACCUAGUGUAGAGGUGAAAUUCGUAGAUAUUAGGUGGAACACCAGUGGCGAAGGCGCCUAACUGGUCCGGUACUGACGCUGAGGAACGAAAGCGUGGGGAGCAAACAGGAUUAGAACCCGUGUAGUC
Molecule: ribosomal RNA, 439 nt
Filed under: uncultured bacterium
Lineage: Bacteria
Description: partial 16S ribosomal RNA
Rfam family: Bacterial small subunit ribosomal RNA
Source: RNAcentral